AGGCUGCAUAUGAUGACAACAUAGUUCAACAGAUGACCUGUGAUGAUCACGCUGUUAUUGUCUUUCGCUCCUAUCUGAUGCAGCCU
Small nucleolar RNA from Apteryx haastii (Great spotted kiwi), 86 nucleotides. The record is from Ensembl. Lineage: Eukaryota; Metazoa; Chordata; Aves; Apterygiformes; Apterygidae.